GACGAGGCACUACGGUGCUGAAGCAACAAAUGCCCUGCUUCCAGGAAAAGCCUCUAAGCAUCAGGUAACAUCAAAUCGUACCCCAAACCGACACAGGUGGUCAGGUAGAGAAUACCAAGGCGCUUGAGAGAACUCGGGUGAAGGAACUAGGCAAAAUGGUGCCGUAACUUCGGGAGAAGGCACGCUGACACGUAGGUGAAGUGAUUUACUCACGGAGCUGAAGUCAGUCGAAGAUACCAGCUGGCUGCAACUGUUUAUUAAAAACACAGCACUGUGCAAACACGAAAGUGGACGUAUACGGUGUGACGCCUGCCCGGUGCCGGAAGGUUAAUUGAUGGGGUCAGCGCAAGCGAAGCUCCUGAUCGAAGCCCCGGUAAACGGCGGCCGUAACUAUAACGGUCCUAAGGUAGCGAAAUUCCUUGUCGGGUAAGUUCCGACCUGCACGAAUGGCGUAAUGAUGGCCAGGCUGUCUCCACCCGAGACUCAGUGAAAUUGAACUCGCUGUGAAGAUGCAGUGUACCCGCGGCAAGACGGAAAGACCCCGUGAACCUUUACUAUAGCUUGACACUGAACAUUGAGCCUUGAUGUGUAGGAUAGGUGGGAGGCUUUGAAGCGUGGACGCCAGUCUGCGUGGAGCCGACCUUGAAAUACCACCCUUUAAUGUUUGAUGUUCUAACGUGGACCCGUGAUCCGGGUUGCGGACAGUGUCUGGUGGGUAGUUUGACUGGGGCGGUCUCCUCCUAAAGAGUAACGGAGGAGCACGAAGGUUGGCUAAUCCUGGUCGGACAUCAGGAGGUUAGUGCAAUGGCAUAAGCCAGCUUGACUGCGAGCGUGACGGCGCGAGCAGGUGCGAAAGCAGGUCAUAGUGAUCCGGUGGUUCUGAAUGGAAGGGCCAUCGCUCAACGGAUAAAAGGUACUCCGGGGAUAACAGGCUGAUACCGCCCAAGAGUUCAUAUCGACGGCGGUGUUUGGCACCUCGAUGUCGGCUCAUCACAUCCUGGGGCUGAAGUAGGUCCCAAGGGUAUGGCUGUUCGCCAUUUAAAGUGGUACGCGAGCUGGGUUUAGAACGUCGUGAGACAGUUCGGUCCCUAUCUGCCGUGGGCGCUGGAGAACUGAGGGGGGCUGCUCCUAGUACGAGAGGACCGGAGUGGACGCAUCACUGGUGUUCGGGUUGUCAUGCCAAUGGCACUGCCCGGUAGCUAAAUGCGGAAGAGAUAAGUGCUGAAAGCAUCUAAGCACGAAACUUGCCCCGAGAUGAGUUCUCCCUGAGACUUUAGGUCUCCUGAAGGAACGUUGAAGACGACGACGUUGAUAGGCCGGGUGUGUAAGCGCAGCGAUGCGUUGAGCUAACCGGUACUAAUGAACCGUGAGGCUUAACCUU
This 1381-nucleotide ribosomal RNA is filed under the name Salmonella enterica. RNAcentral describes it as "partial 23S ribosomal RNA". It matches the Rfam family "Bacterial large subunit ribosomal RNA", at positions 1568 to 2925 of the family's 2925-position model. Lineage: Bacteria; Pseudomonadati; Pseudomonadota; Gammaproteobacteria; Enterobacterales; Enterobacteriaceae. The record is from RNAcentral.